Long non-coding RNA from Prinia subflava (tawny-flanked prinia), 489 nucleotides. RefSeq lists it as uncharacterized. The record is from RefSeq and is a predicted model, not a curated record. Lineage: Eukaryota; Metazoa; Chordata; Aves; Passeriformes; Cisticolidae. The transcript has 3 exons.
GGGCAGCGGCGGAGGAGGAGGGGAAGCCGCCGAGGAGGAGCCGCCCCCGCUCUGGUGAUGGGGGCUGGGGAUCUCCGGGCUCUGCAGGCUGCUGAAGCCAGAGCCGAGCCCGCCGGGCAGAAGGUUCCCGGGGCUGCCCAGAGGCGGCGGCCACCCCCACAUUGGGGUCCGCGGACACUGAUCCCCCCGGGCAGGAAGGGGAGAGCCGCUCCGAAUCCCCCCUGUCCGCGCCGCCCUGGUGCUCGGCGGGGCCGACCGGCCGGUGUUGCGAGUGAUCCCCCGUCCGCGGCGGCUCCGGGGGCUGAGCGCUGAGGAGCCGGAGCUGCUGCUGUUGCCUGUGCUCCUGCUGCUGGAGCAGCUCAUCCUGCAUGUUUUGAUGAUGCGCAGCAGCGAUCGCUGAGGGCAAACAGGGAGGGCAGCGGCGACCCGGCGACCGGACGAACCGGCUACAGCGGGCGGCAAGGGGCAGGAGGAAUGAGGCGAGGCGGC